Molecule: long non-coding RNA, 1333 nt
Organism: Salarias fasciatus (jewelled blenny)
Lineage: Eukaryota; Metazoa; Chordata; Actinopteri; Blenniiformes; Blenniidae
Exons: 3
Source: RefSeq, a predicted model, not a curated record
GGCAGGGGGAGCUGUGUAUAAAAGUAGGUCAGUCUCAUUGGCACAGCCUCUGCCGCUGAGUCCGGAGUAGAUCCCGCCCCUGGGCUUCCUCACUUCCUGGUGUGAGCUGUGCGAGCUGUGUUUGCCUGUUGGGCUGCGUUUGGGGUGCUUUUCCCCCUCAUCUGUGGGCCAAGUUGCUGUUAGGUGGCUAUCGUGAGGUCACUGACCCCCCCACCUCUCCUACUGGGUGUGCCAAUUAGAUGUUUUUCUGCCAGCAGUGGCUGAUCAAUCUGCAGUGGAACCUGCCAGCUGUUUUGUCCUUCUGGGUUGCUGCCACGACCAGCGUUGGCACACGUAAUCACGCCUGGUCUGCCUCUGCUCCGUGGAGUCGGCCGCCUGCAGUUCGCUGCACUCCAAUCCACUGGCUGACCUCCUGAACAGAGCUUGAACGCUUGUGGAAUGCCAGGCAGAAGACGGAAGCAAUCUUUUUGCUUUAUUAUCUUUUCUUUCUGCUUUGAUUAAUUUUGUUGAAGACAAGUGUUGGUAUAUUUUCUUGUUCUGCAACAGACUGGCGAUCUGUCCAGGGUGACCCCGCCCUCGCCUGCAGCAGCUGGGAUUGGCCCCAGCCACCUGUGACCCUGAAAGGGAGAAGCGGUUUAGAAAAUGGAUGGAUGGAUGGAUAUUAAAAUAUGACUGACACAGAGCAGGAGCCAGUGGUGGUGAGGGACUGAUCCUGUCAGGAUGGAAGGAACAGCUGAGCUGUCAGAACAGUGUGUGAACAAGCAGCAUUACUUCCAAUAAUACCACUUUCUGUACCAGAAAGGCAGGAGUGACCAGGGAAUCUUUUUUUAACCAUUUAAAGUAAGAUUGUAAAUACACAAAGUCCACUGUUGAAAAGCAAAUAGGAUGAAAGUAACACCAUUGUGCUCUCCUCAUUCUCUCUCUUUCUGCUCACUGAUGUCUAUGUUACUGAACUGGCCUACAAGCUGCUAUUAACACUGUCCUUCACACAAGUUUCCUCUGAGAGGAGUUUCUGAUCAGCAAAAAUCAUUGAAAACAGACUUAGGAGCCCUCGGACCCAGAAAAACGUUAAGCCAACUGUGUUCAUGUGCAAUGAGAAUGAGAUCCUUUGUCUUUGGAUGAUGAUCUUCUCAUAAACAAAGUGGCAGAGACCAAAGCACGGUUCAGGUGCUUAUUAAUGUUUAAGGGUCGGCCCUGUUUCUUUGAAAAACAGAUGGUAGUGUUAUGAGAAAGCACAUUUUCAUAUUCUAUCUAAUAUUUCAUGUUUUUAUUUCAUUUUUAAGGUUUGGACAUCUGUUAAUCGAUAUUUGAAAUAUAGAUUCUGAAAUGAUUA